CUACGGGAGGCAGCAGUGGGGAAUCUUGGACAAUGGGCGCAAGCCUGAUCCAGCCAUGCCGCGUGGAUGAUGAAGGCCUUAGGGUUGUAAAGUCCUUUUAACGGGGAAGAUAAUGACGGUACCCGUAGAAUAAGCCCCGGCUAACUUCGUGCCAGCAGCCGCGGUAAUACGAAGGGGGCUAGCGUUGCUCGGAAUCACUGGGCGUAAAGCGCACGUAGGCGGCUUUCUAAGUCAGGGGUGAAAUCCUGGAGCUCAACUCCAGAACUGCCUUUGAUACUGGGGAUCUCGAGUUCGGGAGAGGUGAGUGGAACUGCGAGUGUAGAGGUGAAAUUCGUAGAUAUUCGCAAGAACACCAGUGGCGAAGGCGGCUCACUGGCCCGAUACUGACGCUGAGGUGCGAAAGCGUGGGGAGCAAACAGGAUUAGAUACCCUUGUAGUCC
RNAcentral lists this ribosomal RNA (440 nucleotides) under uncultured bacterium. Its description in RNAcentral is "bacterial SSU rRNA". It matches the Rfam family "Bacterial small subunit ribosomal RNA", at positions 339 to 796 of the family's 1533-position model. The record is from RNAcentral.